Molecule: ribosomal RNA, 407 nt
Filed under: uncultured Glomeromycotina
Lineage: Eukaryota; Fungi; Glomeromycota
Description: SSU rRNA
Rfam family: Eukaryotic small subunit ribosomal RNA
Source: RNAcentral
AGCAGCCGCGGUAAUUCCAGCUCCAAUAGCGUAUAUUAAAGUUGUUGCAGUUAAAAGCUCGUAGUUGAAUUUCGGGGUUAGUAGUUUGGUCGUGCCAAUGGUAUGUACUGGGCUCACUGAUUCCUCCUUCCUGAUGAACUGUAAUGCCAUUAAUUUGGUGUUGCAGGGAAACAGGACUGUUACUUUGAAAAAAUUAGAGUGUCUAAAGCAAGCUAACGCUUGAAUACAUUAGCAUGGAAUAAUGAAAUAGGACGUUCGAACCUAUUUUGUUGGUUUCUAGGAUUGACGUAAUGAUUAAUAGGGAUAGUUGGGGGCAUUAGUAUUCAAUUGUCAGAGUGAAAUUCUUGGAUUUAUUGAAGACUAACUACUGCGUAAGCAUUUGCCAAGGAUGUUUUCAUUAAUCAAGA